This is a non-coding RNA of Myodes glareolus (Bank vole), 2185 nucleotides long. The record is from RefSeq and is a predicted model, not a curated record. Lineage: Eukaryota; Metazoa; Chordata; Mammalia; Rodentia; Cricetidae.
AAAAUUUUUAGUAAUGUUUACCUUACUCAAACUGAAAAUGUACCUAGUUAAUUAAUAUUAUUGAGUGAGACUAUUAAAAUUCAGAUUAAACUAGUAAAUAAAAUAUGAGUACUUGCAAGAUUUCUCUACUAGUAAAUGUACCUGCUAAGACUGAUGAUAUGAAUUUGAUCCCAGAAACCAUAUAAUGUUCAUUAUGGCAUGCAUGCCCAUACCAACAUAAAGGCAACAAUAAUAAUUAAUACAUAUGUUUUAUAGAGGGUGUGAUGUACAAAAUUACCUUCAGAAUAAAAUGUACUCUUUUAAAGAGCAAAUCAAAUAAAAUUAUGCAAAAACAUAUGAAGUAAAUAGUAAGCCACAUGUGCUUUGGAGCUUAAUGUAUAGAGCUUCAAAAAAGAAGCCAGAUGAAGAAAGUAUAUUUAGAAGUAAUAAAAGGUAUUUUUCUGUUCUAUUGAUUCCACCAUUUCUUAAUUCAGCAAUCCUUAUGAUUACUGGACAAAGAUGUAUCACAUGACUACAAAUGUUUGCACUUACUUGCAUGCCUCUGAACCAAUAUUUUUCCUGCCAUGACUAAAUUUAUUAGUUUUAUAAUCCCAUGAAUAUGAUUACUAUAGUAACUGAUCAAUCCACUUGCUUCUUUGUUAGACUUUCACAGCAUAAUAAUGCAUAGACUACAAGUUGAUGUCAGAGUUGCUUAAUUGUCAAUAACAAGUUUCAGUCCCUACUGUUUCUCAGAAGAUGGGUAUUAAAAAUCUAUCAAAAAGAAAAUAAAAGGUAAGAAAAAUGAGAGAUAAAAAUAGCAAGACAGGUGGGAAGAUGCUAAUCAUUCUGUGAAAGUUUGAUUGCUCUCUGAAUAUUUUCAAAGUAUUCCAUUCAGCUGUCUUGGGAGAAGUCAUUAUAGGAGCUUUCCUACAGAUUUAAACUUUCUGUCAUUUUCCUUGCAUGAUAAUUCAUGGCAAGAAGUGUAACAAAUGGCGUAUGAGCCAGCUUCCUAGGUUUGCCAUCUGUAUUAUUAUUUGUCACUAAUUUCCAGGCUUUCAGUUACAAAUAACCUAAUGUGAAGUUUGUGCUGUGGAUGUUUGCACUGGGAAUAGACUUAGGUUUCUGUAAUUUGUUUGGAUAGCUAGUAAAUUAAUGAACUCGUGUUGAGAGAAGGCAUGGCAAAUGCAAAGUACAUAUUCUAGAGACUCCACAGACUUCGUUAAAUUUAAACAUAAUUUGCUGCUGAAAUUGCAAUGAAUAUAGGUUAAGAUUGUACAGUGAUGGUAUUUUCAUGGUUCCUGGGACCCCAAACAGUGAUUGAAUUGGUACCUCUUAAUUUUAAAAACAUUGGCAUUACAAAAAAAUUUGCAUUUGCUUUUAAUGUUAAGAAUUCAGUGUUCCUUGAGGUUUUAAAAUUAUAAGCUAAUUGAAGAAUGUAGAAAAAGGCACAUUGCUUAGAGAGUCCUACCUACUAUUAGAUAUAUUACAGUUAAAAAAUAUAAUUAUAUAACUUUUGGAAGGGAAAAAUAAAAGUACCCAAGACUUGCGGUGCUAGGCCUCUUUUAACCCCCACCAGCAUUCUAAAGACACAUGACUUGUGGUUUUCUUUUUCUCUCUUGGAACCUGACUCUGUCACUCUAAAGGACCUGGACAGAUAACUUUGGAACUAUUUUUCUUAGGCAGUUUUACUGCAGGAGGGCAAUCUAUAUAUGCUACCAUCUUUUCAAGCACUAUUUUCCAGUAACUCUCUUCUAUUUUGAAUUUGCAGUUUUACAGAUGAAGUCUUUGAUAGAUGGAGGUUUGUCCAGGAUCUUGACCACUCCCCAGUACUAAGAACUGCCCUCUGACCUGGCAAACCUCCUAAGAUAAAACAAAAUAAAAUAUAAAAGAAAGAAAAAAAGCAAAAAAAUACCCAUAAAACUUCUUUGUGGAAUCUGGAGUGUGACACAAAGAUGAGAACCUGUGGAUUCCUUCCAGGCUACUGUGAUUUAAUGGAACAAGACUCCCGCAAAUUUCCCAAUGAACCCUAAAUAUACUUCACCCAACAAGCAGCAGGAAGUGUUUUGGAGAAAACUAUACCCAAAUUCCCAAAAUGAUUUUUUAUAAAUGUUUGUUUUCAUUUAAAGGGAGACAUACUACAGAGAUGAAUGAAUACUUUGUACUGAACUUAAGACUUUUCAUGACAAAUAAGACACAUCUGCUCCUG